This 459-nucleotide ribosomal RNA is filed under the name uncultured bacterium. RNAcentral's name for it is "partial 16S ribosomal RNA". It matches the Rfam family "Bacterial small subunit ribosomal RNA", at positions 338 to 795 of the family's 1533-position model. The record is from RNAcentral.
CCUACGGGAGGCAGCAGUGAGGAAUAUUGGUCAAUGGGCGCGAGCCUGAACCAGCCAAGUCGCGUGAGGGAAGACGGUCCUAUGGAUUGUAAACCUCUUUUGUCGGGGAGCAAACGACGCCACGCGUGGCGUUCCGAGAGUACCCGAAGAAAAAGCAUCGGCUAACUCCGUGCCAGCAGCCGCGGUAAUACGGAGGAUGCGAGCGUUAUCCGGAUUUAUUGGGUUUAAAGGGUGCGCAGGCGGAAGAUCAAGUCAGUGGUAAAAUUGAGAGGCUCAACCUCUUCGAGCCGUUGAAACUGGUGUUCUUGAGUGAGUGAGAAGUAUGCGGAAUGCGUGGUGUAGCGGUGAAAUGCAUAGAUAUCACGCAGAACUCCGAUUGCGAAGGCAGCAUACCGGCGCUCAACUGACGCUCAUGCACGAAAGUGUGGGUAUCGAACAGGAUUAGAUACCCCGGUAGUC